RNAcentral lists this long non-coding RNA (1988 nucleotides) under Homo sapiens (human). RNAcentral describes it as "HSALNT0357831". Lineage: Eukaryota; Metazoa; Chordata; Mammalia; Primates; Hominidae. The record is from RNAcentral.
AGCAUGUGAGAGAAGAGUUAGAACGCCAGAUCGGCUUCGCACAUACAGUGUGCAUCUGCACACGGGGCCGCAAACACAUACGCACAUAUUUAUAUUUGUGGUCAGCAACUUGUUAAAUUGAGGGGGAAAUAUAUUUAAUCUUGGCCUGUGCUGUUGCAAAAAGGGCCGUCCCAAUUUAAUUUGCAGGCGGUGAUAGUUACAUGUGCUGACGUGCCUCGGUAUCCAUUGUGUACCAAAUUGGAUUUGUGUAUUAUUGCUUUCUAAAUUGCAUGCCUAGUUCAGCAAAAUUGUUCAUCAGUGUUUACUGGCUUUAUGCUUAAUAAGAUGCCCCACAAUACCUUGCUGCCAGGGUGUAAUGCAGCCAGUAAUUGCCUAGUAAAAAUAAAUUACAUAAAGUCGGCAUUAUCAACUUAUCUUAAUCCUCUCACGCCACAACCAGUAAUUAAAUGCUGAGAAUGUUUUUUUCAAAAAAUAUAACUCAAUGAUUGUUACUUCACUCAUUUUAAUGACUGCAUUUGGGGACAGACAGUAAUUCCUUCAAUGUGAAGGGUGAGAUGGAGAGACGCCAGCUGGGUACGUCCCUGCGAGGCCACUUCCUUGGACUCAGGGCAGGAGAGAUGAUACAGCCCCUGCUGUCCUGAGGUGACCACCCAUGUGUGCAGACAGGCCAUGUGCCAGGAAAUGCAUGAGGGGUCCAGGUGGGAGAAACCACCUCAAAGCACACCAGGCAUUUGUACAUUGUGUACAAGUCUAAACAACAAGCUUCUCCCAAGCACUUUUUAUGUACCAGAUUGAGUCCAAAUCUUUGAGGCGAUUCCUGAAAUAAAUUGUACUCAGCUGGGUUGGGCCUUGCUGCAAAUGGCAAAUAAAUGAAUUCCAAGCAGAAAUUGGAUUACAUCUGCCCACAAAUGCAGUAUGCUUAAUAUCUUCAAAGAUCUCCUUUCUUGCCCCUUAAGACAUUUGAGGGGUAUAGUAAUAUACACGCCAAGAGGACACACAUGCAAAUAUCCACGUGCCAUGCCCAAUACAGGUCCCUUUCCAACAAAGCAGUUUUGAGCAAUGUAAGAACAACAUGCCUUUUUAUUAGAGACCUCCAGCAGUUUAGGCUUGUAAAUCUGCACAUAUUUUAGAUUUGUUAACUCUAAACUGCAGGCCAGUGUGAUUAUUUGAAUAUGUCCAUGUCAUCCUGUCAUUUCAUGUUAAUCUUCCCUUGAACUGUAAUCACAAUCUUGGCAGUCAGUCCAAUGGGGUGGCAGAGACUUAGGGUCAGGGCAGACAGAGAGGAAGGUUGUGGAUCUGGGGCUCCCUGUCAGUCUAAGACCCCCUUAAGUAAGUUUCCUAAUGCCAUCAGCUGCUGUGUCCAGAGAGAAAAAUCUCUCAAAGCCUGCAAAAAUGACAAUAAUGACCUGCAUUUGGGGUAGAUUCUUGUCUGUGGCUACUAUUAUUCUGUCAUCAGUACUCUACUAGUUAGGAUGCACAGGAAGUGUCCCCAUUUGACAGAAGACCAGAGAAGCUGCUGUGACAGAGUUGGGUCUAGAACCUUGUUUCCUGCUUUUUACUCUGCUUCUCAUUCACUAGACCCCAUGACCAGUGAGUGCAACCUCACCACAACCAUUGAUGCUGAAUAGGAACCUGCAAAUCCAAUGGCACUGCCAGAAUCAACUGAAUGGCUCUGAGAAGGCAGCCCUCAGAAAUCUGGGAAAUUCUCUCCUAUGGAUGAUCACAGGUUCUGGGAUGCAGAGCAAACAGGGAGCUAAUGGAAGCACUCAGGAUGAUAGAAUUCUAACUUCAUGAAAACAUGUUUGAUUGUGGGUCCCAGUAAAGAUGUCCCAGUUCUCGGCCAGAAUCUUUUCUGAAGACUGAGCUGGAGGAGGUACCCGUUCUGGAAUGGUCUCAAAUGCAACCUGCAGGUUUGGCCCCCUGGAGGAAGUGAGAAGAAUGGAGAUGAACACGUUUCUUGUGUCAUGUCCUCAUUCUGCCCAAGACAC